Non-coding RNA from Paramuricea clavata, 218 nucleotides. The record is from the annotation of a GenBank genome assembly. NCBI's taxonomy places the organism in Eukaryota, Metazoa, Cnidaria, Anthozoa, Malacalcyonacea, Plexauridae.
GUCUUGUAACAAGCAUCGUCUAUAUUUUGACAACGCUCUUACUGGAGGUCUUUUGGCAAGCUGCUGAAUUUCAUCUUGUUGGUAGAAUUAACGUUUAUUGGUUGUUGGAAGAUAAAGUUUUUUGAGGGAAAACAUGGCACAGCAACAUCGGGAAAACAUGCGGUAAGGUGACUUUGCUUAUUUACAGCUAAGUAUUUGAGGCAAACCUAGAAGUAUUU